AGAUUUACACAGAAUCAUCACACUAAGCUUUAUGUUGAUAAGACAUACAAAGUUUACACCGGAUUGGCACUUUGGCAUCUGGAAGUCAAAGUGGAGAAACUUCAAUGCAGAAAUGUUGUCUGAUGUCGCUGCGUCUGUGGGGUUAUCGUCAAGGACGGGCCACAACAUCCCCCAGCUUGUGGGGGACUCUUCCAAUCCUGCUGUUAUCUAAGACAGGAAGGAUUGCCUUACGACAUUGUUUCACCACAUAAAGAAUGUCACCAAAUUUCAUCAAUUUCCAUGUGUCAGCGGAGCAUCCCGGUGUUGUGGAAUGCAGGGAAUUGAGUGAAUCACCAGUAGUCAGAAUCACUCUCAGGAAGGUCUCGAAAGUGAAUGUUAAUGUGAGCUGUGACAACCUGCCAUAAGAAAUGUUUGCGAAAGGGCUUGAUCUGGACCAUCAGUGGUAUUUAUUUGAAAAAAUUCGUGAAUUCUGUCGCAUAGAUGAACCAAAAACUUGACAUGUCCGAAACGCGCUACUGGUGAGCAACAAAAAACAGACUGUGCCCCCCCAAAAAAGAAGAUGCAUUAAGAUGCGCAUCUGAUCUUCUCUGAUGGUGCCACAACAAUUACAUACAUCAUGUAUCAGUGUUUAUUUUGGCCAAGGUAUUGGGUGAUAUAUUUUCCCACAAACAAUGCAAACAAUCCUCUAUUCCUAGGAAAGCUAAAACAUGUAUAUGAUUGCUAAAUGUGUCAGUUGAUACAGGUUUUGAAAUGUUCAAUGCAAACUUUUGUUGUUUUAAUUGCACAAGCUUGUUUUCAAGUUUUUUAUAUCUCAUAUUUACAAAACAAAAAUCAUUUGUUCCAUGUAGAUCUAACCAUGCAAUUGUUUUCACCUUAUGGACACAGACUGCCUAUCAGAAAAACUGGAAAAAAAUCAGUGUGAAUAUUGUAUUUAUUUAUGUUUUACAAUGAAAAUCCUAUAUUUU
Long non-coding RNA from Dreissena polymorpha, 965 nucleotides. RefSeq lists it as uncharacterized. The record is from RefSeq and is a predicted model, not a curated record. NCBI's taxonomy places the organism in Eukaryota, Metazoa, Mollusca, Bivalvia, Myida, Dreissenidae. The transcript is spliced from 2 exons.